UGCCAGCCGCCGCGGUAACACGGGGGGCGCAAGCGUUAUUCGGAAUUAUUGGGCGUAAAGGGCGCGCAGGCGGUCUUGUCCGUCAGGUGUGAAAGCUCGGGGCUCAACCCCGGAAGUGCACUUGAAACAGCAAGACUUGAAUACGGUAGAGGAGAGAGGAAUUCCUGGUGUAGAGGUGAAAUUCGUAGAUAUUAGGAGGAACACCAGAGGCGAAGGCGUCUGUCUGGGCCAUUACUGACGCUAAGGCACGAAAGCGUGGGGAGCGAACAGGAUUAGAUA
This 279-nucleotide ribosomal RNA is filed under the name uncultured bacterium. RNAcentral describes it as "partial 16S ribosomal RNA". It matches the Rfam family "Bacterial small subunit ribosomal RNA", at positions 506 to 784 of the family's 1533-position model. The record is from RNAcentral.